GCAAACUUGGUCAUUUAGAGGAAGUAAAAGUCGUAACAAGGUUUCCGUAGGUGAACCUGCGGAAGGAUCAUUAUCGAGUAAAGUGGCCCCAAUGCGGGGCCCAUACUCCACCCUUUGUAUAGACUUGCGGAAUUGCCUUGGCCGGGGAAAGCCGGCCAGAGGGAAAACGAAACACGGUUAUUUGUGGUCUGAGGUUGGGCUAUGAAGAAAAAAAAACUUUCAACAACGGAUCUCUUGGUUCUGGCAUCGAUGAAGAACGCAGC
This 263-nucleotide unclassified non-coding RNA is filed under the name uncultured fungus. Its description in RNAcentral is "partial contains small subunit ribosomal RNA, internal transcribed spacer 1, and 5.8S ribosomal RNA". The stretch from base 1 to 73 matches the Rfam family "Eukaryotic small subunit ribosomal RNA", at positions 1759 to 1831 of the family's 1831-position model. The record is from RNAcentral. Lineage: Eukaryota; Fungi.